UUCAUCUGAGUGGAUGGAAAGCUCAUCGUGAGCUGAAAGAAAGAAAGGGGACAGCUUUGCAAGGAGAGAUUCCUCUUUUCUCCCACUCCACUCACCCACAAAUGGCCCUGGAGCAGAAGCAACUGCGUGUUCAGCGAUUAAAAUAGGCAAAGCUCUGAGGCUCUGGAAGAUGGCCACUGCAUGACAGGAGUGAGCCUCAAUCCCUCAGUGACACAGUGGAACAGAGCUAUCUCUCCCAAAGAUUAUACAACAGUUUCCAGAAGAAAAUGGUUCCAAGAUCAUUGUGAGAUCUCAAGAAACCCUAGAUUUGAAACACCUUGGUCUGCUGCCCAGCCAAGCAUCACAGUUAGUCUUCAGCCCAUGGAAAUCUCAGUCUUACAUUCUAGAAAGGCAGACUGGACAUAAAUGUGUAAAAUCUUUAACUUAUUACUGAUAGUGUAUUUAUCUGUGUUUGAAUUUUGAAAAGAAUAGGAAAAAUAAGGAAAGAAGUCCAGAGUGGAGAGGAAGAAUUGAAGUCAGGCAACAUUUAUAGGACUCCUACCACAGCAUUUAUACAUAGUGUUGAAGUGCAAAGCUGCUUUUACUUACCUUAUCUAAUGAAAUUAGUUCACACACCAUUUUAGUACCCUAAACAAAAUUUAUAUUACUAAAAAAUAAAUAUUAAAAUAUCUUUGAUAUCCCUUUAGUACUUUAUUUCUUUUCAAAAUUAUGUCAGUCUGCAAGUUUUUCAUUAAGUGAACUGUGUUUUGGCAAUGGCACCCCACUCCAGUACUCUUGCCUGGAAAAUCCCAUGGAUGGAGGAGGCUGGUAGGCUGCAAUCCAUGGGGUCGCUAAGAGUCGGACACGACUGAGCGACUUC
Long non-coding RNA from Bubalus bubalis (water buffalo), 859 nucleotides. RefSeq lists it as uncharacterized. NCBI's taxonomy places the organism in Eukaryota, Metazoa, Chordata, Mammalia, Artiodactyla, Bovidae. The transcript is spliced from 3 exons. The record is from RefSeq and is a predicted model, not a curated record.